CCGGUGGCGGAUGGGCAUGCGGCGCAUUAGCUAGUCGGCGGGGUAACGGCCCACCGAGGCGACGAUGCGUAGGGGUUCUGAGAGGAAGGUCCCCCACACUGGUACUGAGACACGGACCAGACUCCUACGGGAGGCAGCAGUGAGGAAUAUUGGUCAAUGGGCGCGAGCCUGAACCAGCCAAGUCGCGUGAGGGAUGACGGUCCUACGGAUUGUAAACCUCUUUUGCCGGGGAGCAAGCGUGCGUUCGUGAACGCGCGUCGAGAGUACCCGGAGAAAAAGCAUCGGCUAACUCCGUGCCAGCAGCCGCGGUAAUACGGAGGAUGCGAGCGUUAUCCGGAUUUAUUGGGUUUAAAGGGUGCGUAGGCGGGAUGCCAAGUCAGCGGUAAAAAUGCGGUGCUCAACGCCGUCGAGCCGUUGAAACUGGCGUUCUUGAGUGGGCGAGAAGUAUGCGGAAUGCGUGGUGUAGCGGUGAAAUGCAUAGAUAUCACGCAGAACUCCGAUUGCGAAGGCAGCAUACCGGCGCCCUACUGACGCUGAGGCACGAAAGCGUGGGUAUCGAACAGGAUUAGAUACCCUGGUAGUCCACGCAGUAAACGAUGAAUGCUAACUGUCCGG
RNAcentral lists this ribosomal RNA (615 nucleotides) under uncultured bacterium. RNAcentral's name for it is "bacterial SSU rRNA". It matches the Rfam family "Bacterial small subunit ribosomal RNA", at positions 215 to 827 of the family's 1533-position model. The record is from RNAcentral.